Molecule: ribosomal RNA, 602 nt
Filed under: uncultured bacterium
Lineage: Bacteria
Description: bacterial SSU rRNA
Rfam family: Bacterial small subunit ribosomal RNA
Source: RNAcentral
GAAAGGAGGAAUCCGGUGGCGGCUGGGCAUGCGGCGCAUUAGCUUGACGGCGGGGUAACGGCCCACCGUGGCGACGAUGCGUAGGGGUUCUGAGAGGAAGGCCCCCCACACUGGAACUGAGACACGGUCCAGACUCCUACGGGAGGCAGCAGUGAGGAAUAUUGGUCAAUGGGCGGAAGCCUGAACCAGCCAAGUCGCGUGAGGGAAUAAGGCCCUACGGGUCGUAAACCUCUUUUGCCGGGGAGCAAGGGCCGGGACGCGUCCCGGCCCGGAGAGUACCCGGAGAAAAAGCAUCGGCUAACUCCGUGCCAGCAGCCGCGGUAAUACGGAGGAUGCGAGCGUUAUCCGGAUUUAUUGGGUUUAAAGGGUGCGUAGGCGGGCUUUUAAGUCAGCGGUAAAAAUUCGGGGCUCAACCCCGUCCGGCCGUUGAAACUGGGGGCCUUGAGUGGGCGAGAAGAAGGCGGAAUGCGUGGUGUAGCGGUGAAAUGCAUAGAUAUCACGCAGAACCCCGAUUGCGAAGGCAGCCUUCCGGCGCCCUACUGACGCUGAGGCACGAAAGUGCGGGGAUCGAACAGGAUUAGAUACCCUGGUAGUCCGCACAG